CAUUUCAAUAGUUUAUCCAAAA
Molecule: transfer RNA, 22 nt
Filed under: Pelomedusa schweinfurthi
Lineage: Eukaryota; Metazoa; Chordata; Testudines; Pelomedusidae
Description: partial transfer RNA-Thr
Source: RNAcentral